ACUCCUACGGGAGGCAGCAGUGGGGAAGUAUUGGACAAUGGGCGGCAAGCCUGAUCCAGCCAUGCCGCGUGAGUGAUGAAGGCCCGUAGGGUUGUAAAGCUCUUUCGCCUGUGAAGAUAAUGACGGUAGCAGGUAAAGAAACCCCGGCUAACUCCGUGCCAGCAGCCGCGGUAAUACGGAGGGGUUAGCGUUGUUCGGAAUUACUGGGCGUAAAGCGCACGUAGGCGGAUCGGAAAGUUGGGGUGAAAUCCCGGGGCUCAACCCCGGAACGGCCUCCAAAACUAUCGGUCUAGAGUUCGAGAGAGGUGAGUGGAAUUCCGAGUGUAGAGGUGAAAUUCGUAGAUAUUCGGAGGAACACCAGUGGCGAAGGCGGCUCACUGGCUCGAUACUGACGCUGAGGUGCGAAAGUGUGGGGAGCAAACAGGAUUAGAUACCCUGGUAGGACAGUG
Molecule: ribosomal RNA, 449 nt
Filed under: uncultured bacterium
Lineage: Bacteria
Description: bacterial SSU rRNA
Rfam family: Bacterial small subunit ribosomal RNA
Source: RNAcentral